Molecule: long non-coding RNA, 938 nt
Organism: Sarcophilus harrisii (Tasmanian devil)
Lineage: Eukaryota; Metazoa; Chordata; Mammalia; Dasyuromorphia; Dasyuridae
Exons: 5
Source: RefSeq, a predicted model, not a curated record
CAGUGGAGAUAUCAAGGUCACAGCAGGGCUGAGCCCUGUUGCUGGAGCAAUGUUGGGCCCCAAGGUAGCUGUACUUUGCCCUUCAAAAGACCUUGGGGUAUCUAUCUCUGAUGCUAAUGCAGUGACUGUAGGCAAUUUUGUGAAAACAGAGGGGGCUGAGCUAGUCCCUAUUCUCCAGUGAUUUCUUGAGGUUGACAGAAUGGACAGUGCUUGAAGAUAAGGAGACAUUCCUGGAGUAACUGGUUGUUUCAGUUAAGCUGAACAGAGAAGGAAGUGGAAGUUCUAUCAGGCUGGAGAAUUACUCCUGUGCUUUGGGACUGUAUGUGUUCUCUGUGUUUCUGCAUCAGGAAGAGUUGGAAGUUUCCAAUGCCUAUGGUGGCUCCAGAUGUCUCAGAUGAACUGACGAAGUUUCUGUGGGAGAGGAUAUGGUUCUUUCUGUGUUUCUCAUGCUUGAAUAUAUGAUUCCAGAGGACAAGUGGGAUGGUGAAGCGUAUCAAAGCCAUAUCCAUAUAAGCAUCUGUUGAAGGAACUGAGGAAACUUUAACUCAGAGAAGUGAUGGCUCAAAGAGGGCAUAAUGACUGUCUUCAAGUAUUUGGAUGAUUCUUGUUCGGAUGGUGUAUUUCACUUUCUUGGGUUAUCUCCUGAGGCCAGAACAAAAGCAAUGGAUUCAAAAUGCAGAGGAAAGGUCCACCUUUCAAUACUAUAGUUCAAAUUUGGACAAUUCCAUACUUGCCUAAAGAUCAUCAGUCUUCAUCAACAAGAAGGAGAGCAUCAAAGACCACUAGAACACCCUCGUGUGCAUUAAUUGACUUAACAGAGAGAGUUUUGAAGUCAGGGUCCCAAAGUAGUCCAAAAUAAAGAGAUCCAAAGAAGAAAAGGCCAGGUGAGAGAAUUCACCAAUGAGGUAACAAUGGUGCAAUAAAAGGAUCUCUGGUAA